This 247-nucleotide ribosomal RNA is filed under the name uncultured bacterium. RNAcentral describes it as "partial 16S ribosomal RNA". It matches the Rfam family "Bacterial small subunit ribosomal RNA", at positions 1066 to 1320 of the family's 1533-position model. The record is from RNAcentral.
CGUGAGAUGUUGGGUUAAGUCCCGCAACGAGCGCAACCCUUGUCAUUAGUUGCUACGAAAGGGCACUCUAAUGAGACUGCGGUGACAAACCGGAGGAAGGUGGGGAUGACGUCAAGUCCUCAUGGCCCUUAUGGCUAGGGCCUCACACGUCAUACAAUGGUCGGAACAGAGGGAAGCGAAGCCGCGAGGUGAAGCCAAUCCCAGAAAACCGAUCGUAGUCCGGAUUGCAGUCUGCAACUCGACUGCA